Molecule: long non-coding RNA, 291 nt
Filed under: Glycine max (soybean)
Lineage: Eukaryota; Viridiplantae; Streptophyta; Magnoliopsida; Fabales; Fabaceae
Description: long non-coding RNA (GMAX_LNC002348)
Source: RNAcentral
GCGUCGGUGAGGAGGGCGGAGAGGGCAGCGGUGCGGCGCGUGUCGAGCGUGCGGAGGGCGAUCUGGAGCGUGGCGUCGAGGGAGGUUUCGCGGCGAUCGAGGAGGCGGAGGGAGUCGGAAGUAGUGUUGUCGAGGGUGCGAAUCUUGCGUUUGAGGGCUUCGGAUUUGUGGUUGAGGUCUUGCUCGAGGGAGGAGAAGUGGUCGGAGAGCUCCUUCCAGAGGAGGGUGCAGCUGGUCAUGAGGGAAGUUUGGCGCUGGAACUCGUCGAAGCUCGGCUGAGUCAACUCGCUC